CUGAGCAGGCCUAACACAUGCAAGUCGAGCGGAUGAGGGAAGCUUGCUUCCCGAUUUAGCGGCGGACGGGUGAGUAAUGCCUAGGAAUCUGCCUAUUAGUGGGGGAUAACGUUCCGAAAGGAACGCUAAUACCGCAUACGUCCUACGGGAGAAAGUGGGGGAUCUUCGGACCUCACGCUAAUAGAUGAGCCUAGGUCGGAUUAGCUAGUUGGUGGGGUAACGGCUCACCAAGGCGACGAUCCGUAGCUGGUCUGAGAGGAUGAUCAGCCACACCGGAACUGAGACACGGUCCAGACUCCUACGGGAGGCAGCAGUGGGGAAUAUUGGACUAUGGGCGAAAGCCUGAUCCAGCCAUGCCGCGUGUGUGAAGAAGGUCUUCGGAUUGUAAAGCACUUUAAGUUGGGAGGAAGGGUUG
Molecule: ribosomal RNA, 415 nt
Filed under: uncultured bacterium
Lineage: Bacteria
Description: bacterial SSU rRNA
Rfam family: Bacterial small subunit ribosomal RNA
Source: RNAcentral